RNAcentral lists this long non-coding RNA (338 nucleotides) under Gossypium barbadense (sea-island cotton). Its description in RNAcentral is "long non-coding RNA (GBAR_LNC013836)". The record is from RNAcentral. Lineage: Eukaryota; Viridiplantae; Streptophyta; Magnoliopsida; Malvales; Malvaceae.
GAUUGAGGAUGGGCUGGAAGGAGCUAAGGAAUCUGUAGUUUGAUUGGUAUGAUUGUUUUUUUUUUUCUUAUAGUGGAAUUUAAAUUAUUUGAGGACUAUUCAAUUUGGGUAGUUAAACUUAUAGGUUGGGAUUGAAUAGAUAGAUGAGAUAAUUACAUUUUUGAUGGAACUAUAACAGGAUAGUGAUUAUGAGGAUGAGGAAGAGGAUGAAAUUGAAUCAUUUGAGCCUUUUUUUUUUUUACCCCUUUUAAUUAUGUUGUUGUACUGCCACCAAUGGUGAUUGGUACUUUGUUUUUCUUCGUCAUUCUUAGCUUGAAUAAUACAUCCUCACAAUUUAC